Ailuropoda melanoleuca (giant panda) is the source of this 2552-nucleotide long non-coding RNA. RefSeq lists it as uncharacterized. The transcript has 7 exons. Lineage: Eukaryota; Metazoa; Chordata; Mammalia; Carnivora; Ursidae. The record is from RefSeq and is a predicted model, not a curated record.
UUCAAGUGGCUGCUGCCGCUUUCCCCCCUCCCCUUUGGUGCGACAGCCUCAGAGCUGGCGGAGAGGCAGCGCGCGCAGCUAGCUGGAUAAAUUCGUAGACGUGGAAUUUCUGGAUUAAAUGGUCACCAAUUGUUUCAGCAUCAUUUAUUGAAUAAUCCAACCUUCUUCCACUGGUUUGAAAUGGCAACAACUGCUCUCCCAUUAGCUAGGGUAUAAUGUCCACAGGUACUCGGAGAAUUAAAGCUGUCUGGACUCAGUCCCUGGAAUUUUCUAGAAUGGCAUAAGAAGGAAAUGUAAGAAAUGUAUGAGGAGCAGAAAUUAAUGUUUGCCAGCCUGUUGCUGGCAGUAGUCUGAUCUAGGGAUUUAAAGGAGACCUACUUUACCCUAUUAUUGAGCUACAACUCUGGCCUGCGACAGAGACACAGCUUGUGUAGUGGUUAAGAGCAAGGCUUCUGGACCCAGACUCCCUGGUUAGGAUCCAGGUUCCACCCCUUUCUAAUCGUAUCACCUUGGGAGGAGAUUGGACGAUUGAGAGAGCCCUUGGAAGAGGGGAAGAGGGCUUCGUUCCCAGUGUGUAUUUGCCACAUAGUGACCAUAGUGAAUGGUGAUAUCUGUGCUUCUCAGCUCAGCCUGGUGGCCUGACUUUAACUCCCAGGUUCCAUGGUCCCAUCACAACUGCAAGUCAUCCUCAUACAAACGUUGAGUUGACCUAGCAUGCACCUUUGAGAGUUUUGGAACAAUAUGCAAGUUCAAGUCACCAUCGUGUCAUCUUGCUGACAAUCUCGUGGGACAAGACCAACACUGGGGAUCCUUGCUUCUGCCCUUGGUCUUCUGCCUGUCCUUCCCUCUGCAGCCAUUGAUCAGACACGUGUUGUCAUACAAAAGCUGUUUUGCUUUUCUUAUUUGUCUUGUGAAUGUUGUCCUUCGCGUCGUAUACAUCACAGAUUAGUGUCGUGUGCUGCUCUGUGAGCUAAAAACUUUCAAUACUUGUAAAUUUGCGUAAGUUUGGGUAAGAAUGGCAUCCAAGCAGCAAAGCAAGAAUACAGAUUAUAGAAAUGCAAGAAGAGCAAUGAGGGCAAGAAAAGUGAUGUCUAUAGCAAACAAGAUGAAAGUUCUUGAAAUGCUUGAUAAUGGCGAAACCGAGACUUCUGUAGAGUGUUUUUGGGGUGUUAAUAGGUGUAUAAUUUGCACAGUAAAGAAAAAUGAGAAAGCUAUUAGGGCCAGUGUAUCGAGGGGCACAUCAGAAUCAUUGAGAAAAUCAUUCCUAGUUUGAAAUAUCAAAACAGAGACAAUGGAAAAAGAUUGGCAUGUGUGGCUUCUAACGCAGAGAAAGCUGAAUAGGCUUCCUCCGGUAUGCAUCCUCUGCCAGUGAGCACCACAAAAAUGCAAGUUUAAAUUUCGACCCGGACCAAAAGUUGUAACAUUCAUUGCGAGGAUUGGGUGGUUGGAUAGGUUUGAGAAACGCUCUGGUCUGUGUGAAAAGAAAUGGCUGGCAGAGGAAGAGGGUUGUGAAGCUGCUGCCGAGUAUCCCGAAUACCGGAAGAAACUGAGGGAGGAAAAUGGCAGUGUCUUCAGUGCCGAUGAGCCCGCCUGCACCGGAAGUGCGUGCCUAUUUGCACAUCUAUUGCAAAGGAUGAGAAAAAGACUGGAGGCUUCAAGCCCUGGGAAGACAAGCUCCAAGUUCGAUUUUGUUCCUGCGCUUCUGAUGACUUUCUGACCAAAUCCAUGUUGCUUCACAGAUUCCAAAAAUCCUUGCCUCUUAAAAGAGAAUGCUAAAAACACUUUUCUGUGUACAUGGAGGGAAACCAUAAAAUAUGGGCCACUGAGAAACUCUUUUUGGACUGGUUUCUGAAGUGUCUUUUUUUCCUGAGGUUAAAUAAUAUUGAAACCGAAGAAAAUCAUGAAUUCAAAGUGUCACUGUUUCUGGACACUGCUCCCAUUGACAAAACUGCAGUAGUAAACUCGGAUCCCCGUGUUCCAGUCAUCUCCAUCCCUCCUCCCCCGCACGACUCGACACCUUCAUCCCAUGCAUCUGGGAGUGCUAAAAAUUGUUCAGGAUGUACUGUAUUUGGCAUAUAGUUGAUUACCAUGCAGAUCUGAUGAGAGAGACCCCAGAAGUUACUGUGAAAGUAGCUUGGCAAAAUUUCUCCAUUUGUAAUGCUUUAAGGAUGGAAGAAGAAUCGGUGAGAGAAAUAACACAAUCAACCCUUAAUGGAGCCUGGCAGAAACUUCAGAACGAGACUGUAACGGACUCUGAAAGUUUUCUUCCAGUGGUAGAAGAAAUUGAGAAUGUUGUAGCAUCUGCAAAACAUUUGAGGGGUUGAAGGAUUUGAAGACAUUGAAUGAAAUGACAUUUUGCUGAACUGUUAGAUUCUCACCCUCAGAAGACAGUUGAGAAAUUUUUCAGAGAUGUGAUCAUAUCAAAAAUUGAUGAAAGAGGUCAUUGUAGGUUAACAUCCAGAACUCGAAGAAUGUUGAAGCAGCUACUGUGCAAAUCAACUGGCUGUAAUGAUUCAGAGGAAAGAGAUCCUUCGACAGAGUGUUUAUUGACC